UUUCCGGUUGAUCCUGCCGGAGGCCAUUGCUAUCGGAGUCCGAUUUAGCCAUGCUAGUCGAGCGAGGUUAGCCCUCGCGGCGAACAGCUCAGUAACACGUGGCCAAGCUACCCUGCAGAGGGGGACAGCGUCGGGAAACUGACGGGAAUCCCCCAUACCGGUCUCACGCUGGAAUGCCGAGACCGACAAACGCUCCGGCGCUGCAGGAUGCGGCUGCGGCCGAUUAGGUAGUCGGUGGGGUAACGGCCCACCGAGCCGAUAAUUGGUACGGGUCAUGAGAGUGAGAGCCCGGAGACGGACUCUGAGACACGAGUCCGGGCCCUACGGGGCGCAGCAGGCGCGAAACCUUUACACUGCACGAACGUGCGAUAAGGGGACUCCGAGUGCGAGGGCAUACAGUCCUCGCUAUUGUGUACCGUAGGGUGGUACACGACCAAGAGCUGGGCAAGACCGGUGCCAGCCGCCGCGGUAAUACCGGCAGCUCGAGUGAUGGCCGAUUUUAUUGGGCCUAAAGCGUCCGUAGCUGGCCCUGCAAGUCCGUCGGGAAAUCCACUCGCCUAACGAGUGGGCGUCCGGCGGAAACUACAGGGCUUGGGACCGGAAGACUUGAGGGGUACGUCUGGGGUAGGAGUGAAAUCCUGUAAUCCUGGACGGACCGCCGAUGGCGAAAGCACGUCACGAAAACGGAUCCGACAGUGAGGGACGAAAGCUAGGGUCUCGAACCGGAUUAGAUACCCGGGUAGUCCUAGCUGUAAACGAUGUUCGCUAGAUGUGGCACAGGCUACGUGCCUGUGCUGUGUCGUAGGGAAGCCGAGAAGCGAACCGCCUGGGAAGUACGUCCGCAAGGAUGAAACUUAAAGGAAUUGGCGGGGGAGCACUACAACCGGAGGAGCCUGCGGUUUAAUUGGAGUCAACGCCGGGA
Molecule: ribosomal RNA, 922 nt
Filed under: uncultured archaeon
Lineage: Archaea
Description: bacterial SSU rRNA
Rfam family: Archaeal small subunit ribosomal RNA
Source: RNAcentral